GAAUUGCUGAGAUCAGUAGUGAGCAGGGCAGUAGCCCUCUGAGCAGCAGAAAGAGGAAUGUGGAUGGAGAUGUAGUGGUGGGAUGACAGCCUGGAUUGUGGUGGCGACAAUGAGUUGAAAACACCAGGUGUCACAGAGGUGAAAUCAGGAGGGUUUGCUAGGAAGUUGGAUAUGGGUGAUGAAGAAGGAAGGCUGAAGAUGACUCCAAGUUUUCCAGGGCCUCACCAAAUCCAAGAAAAAUCUCAUGAAUCUGGAAAUCUAGAGAGUUGGAUUCUAGCUGCUGUUCUGCCACAAACCACCCAGAUGACCUUGGGGAAGACAUCUUGCUUCGGGGGCCAGGGAUUUUUCAUGUGUAAAAAGAGUCAGUGGGCUCGAUGAUUCAUAAAGACUUAAUAUGCAUGUCUACAUUAUAGGAGUGUGAACCAGGUGGUCAUUCAAGACCUAGUACACUUGGAAAAGAAGUGUCCUCGCCUAUGGAGCAUGAGUUGGCAGCAAUGGAAUCCACAAGGUACUGCUGGCUCCAGCCCAUCAGCACUUCCCAGCUCCAUCUGCACAUCCUGUUUCCA
This 566-nucleotide long non-coding RNA is filed under the name Vulpes vulpes (red fox). RNAcentral's name for it is "lncRNA (ENSVVUG00000010252.1)". The record is from RNAcentral. Lineage: Eukaryota; Metazoa; Chordata; Mammalia; Carnivora; Canidae.